Molecule: non-coding RNA, 89 nt
Filed under: unclassified sequences
Source: RNAcentral
GGCUUAAUGCGGCCAAAGCAAAAAUGACCCAAAUUGAAAUGGUCAUUUUUGGUUUGCCAGUACCAAGCCUGGAUAAACGCAGAGGUGCC